Lycium barbarum (goji berry) is the source of this 695-nucleotide long non-coding RNA. RefSeq lists it as uncharacterized. The record is from RefSeq and is a predicted model, not a curated record. NCBI's taxonomy places the organism in Eukaryota, Viridiplantae, Streptophyta, Magnoliopsida, Solanales, Solanaceae. The transcript is spliced from 3 exons.
UCUAUUCCUCUCACCGAUUCUCCCCCGCCCCUCUCUGUCUAACCCUAAUAACUCCGGUGACGUCACCAUCAUUCCUGCCAGUCACCGCCGCCGCCGUCCCUACCCAGCUGAAAAAAACUUGUUUCAGAUAUGACAUUGAAAAAAGAGUUUGCCUAAUUGACUACUUCUUCCAAAUCUCUCCCCCAUUUUGUAAGCUCUCACACUUUCUUCACUUUAUUUUCCCCAUAUCUCACGCCCUUCUCUUCUUCCAAUGCUCUCCACCUUCAUUUUCCAUCUUCUGGGAGCUGGGGAAUAAUUUCCUUAACUAUAGCUUAUUUCUGGCAACUCUAUACUUUAUGGAUCCUUGUUCAGCUGCAUGAAGCAGUUCCCGGGAAGAGAUACAAUAGAUAUGUGGAACUUGCACAAGCAGCUUUUGGUGAAAGACUUGGGGUUUGGCUUGCUCUCUUCCCUACUGUUUACCUAUCUGCAGGGACUGCGACAGCUUUGAUUCUCGUAGGAGGUGAAACCAUGAAGAUGUUCUUUCAAAUUGUUUGUGGUCCGCUCUAUUCAUCGAAUCCUUCAAGUCUUAUCAGUCUAAUGAGUUCUGUUGCAGGCGUUGUUUUAUAGAUAAAUGCAAUUGCAGUGAUCCAUAAAUUUGGUCACAUUGUAUUGACUGAUAUAGAAGAACUGUAAUGUCUAUGUCUUAUUUAUCAUUA